GAGGGUCCACCCGUUCCCAUUCCGAACACGGAAGUUAAGCUCAUCUGUGCCGACAAUACUUGACUGGAGACGGUCCGGGAAGAUAGGUCAACGCCAACA
This 99-nucleotide ribosomal RNA is filed under the name Clostridia bacterium. The record is from RNAcentral. Lineage: Bacteria; Bacillati; Bacillota; Clostridia.